This 3004-nucleotide long non-coding RNA is filed under the name Sus scrofa (pig). RNAcentral's name for it is "lncRNA (ENSSSCG00035052869.1)". The record is from RNAcentral. Lineage: Eukaryota; Metazoa; Chordata; Mammalia; Artiodactyla; Suidae.
UUAUUAGCAAGAGUUUAUUUUAUUUUCCUAACAACACAAAUAGGUAGAUGCAUUAUACAAGUAGGAAAGCUGAGACACAAGGCAUUGAAAUAACUGGCCCAGGAUCACACAGCUGAAAAUAGCAGCAAGUGACAAAUCAAUAUGUGGAAGUUGCAAGCAAAAUCCCAACACAAUGAGGCCAGCAUAGAAUACAAUUGCUAGAACGAACAGCGGAGGUGGUUUACUCUUUUCUCUUUCCUCUUUCAUAGCCACACCUGCAGCAUAUGGACGUUCUCCGGCCAGGGAUUGAUUCUGAGUCACAGCUGCAAUGCUGGAUCCUUUAACCCACUUUGUCAGGCUGGGGAUCAAACAUGAACCUCUGUAGGGACCUGAGCCACUGCGGUUGGAUUCUUGACCCUCUGUGGAACUCCAGCAGGAGUUUUCUCAUGGGCCUUUGGUCUCACGGGCAGCCUGCUUCAAACACCAAAAACAUGGUCAACAAAAAGAAGAUGGUAAACCAGGAAGAGGAUGACAUAUAUGUUUGCCUGGUGAGACUAGUUAAAAUAUAUCCGUAGGAGGCCCUGAUGUGUAAAGAAAAGAGGCUGUAAAGGAAAGAUGGGAUUCAUCAUAUAAUUAGCAGAAAUUUUGGUGCAAUGGGGCAUGUACUCCCCCCCCCCGCAAGAAAUCUUGUUAACGUGCCUAUUUAUUUAUUUAUUUAUUUUAUUUGUCUUUUUAGGGCUACACCCACGGUGUACGGAGGUUCUCAGGCUAGGGAGUUUUAAAAAAAAUAUGAAAGUCACCCUGACAGGUUUAUUAAGAGUCCGUGGCCAGGACUUUCAAACCCUGUCAGGGAAGGGAAUUGCGCUGGCUCAUCUUAGGUCCCACUGCCUUCUCUUUCAAGGUCCCAGUGGAGCUAAAAAUAGGAAUUAAUGUAUUUUUCAGAGGCUGCCUCAGUCACCAGCCUUCUGCGUCUCUGAGAGGACCCUGGCUCACACUGUCUCCUCCCUCGGUCCAUGUCUUGUGAGGAUACAUGCUCAAAUUUUACAAGUAAUGCCGAGUGAGCUUUAUUACCCAAAUGAAAAAUCCGUUUUAUGUAAGUUCAAUAUACGAUGAGGUAAGGCAGGCACAAAUAUUUCAAAGUUAGCAAAAGCUAAAACGCCACAGACUGUAAUAUCUAGGAAUGUUAAAAGGGUGUGCUUUCCCUUUGUCAAGUAUUAUUCCAGUCAUGCCAUUUCACAUACCCCAAGCUGUUAAUGACUUUGAUAAUGAGCCCUCCCUCUCAAUCUGGCAUUCUUGCAUCUCACAGCUUGGCAUAUCUAAUUUUUAUAGACCCUUACUUUCUCAAACUCGAACCCAUGGGUUUUUCUCUCACAACCCCAGCACUUUCCCUCCUACAAGGCUCAUAUUUGCAGUUUCUAUCUCUGAAGGUGGUAAAGAAUCUACUCUCAUGACUCUCUUUUCUUUGUACUCACGAUGUUGCAGUGAAAUCUUUGCAGUUUCUCUGCUGGACAUGGGAAAUCACAUCAAAUCUCACUCCUCCCAAUACAUCUCGGUCCACAGACUCAUCUUGGGAAAAGACAGCCCCCAUUGUGUCAGCCUUCUGGUAGACCAUCGGUCUGCCCCUAGACGUUGGGGAAAAGUCCUACAAGUGGCCUCUGAGGUCUUCCUUCCUAACACAUGGCUUUAUCUGCUUUGUCUCUCCUAAGCUCCAGCCAUCUUGGAUUCCUCCCAGAUCUUGGACCAAUCUCUAUUUUCUCCCACCCCAAGGCUUCCAAACAUAAUUUUCUUUGGCUGGAAAAUUUCUUCCAUUGACCUCCCAUUAUUCGUCCUUCAGGUUUCAAUUUCCUGUAGGUGUCUCUGGCCAAUCGCUUCCCCCCACCCCCUGGAACCUUACAGUUUUCCAUAGCGUUUAUGACACAUCCAUAAGCAUCUGCUUAAUUGCGUGGAAAAGGGAGGUACCCGUUCUUUCCGUGGAUGGGUCUCCAGCAGCUUGUAAAAUGCCUGGAAUAUAAUAGCCACUUAAAAGUAUAUUUGGUGUGUAAUUAUUCUCUGAAAUUGUCAACAUCUUCCUAAGGUUUCAUUACAAAUAUCUUCUUUCAGGGGGGCUUUGUAAAAAGAUGAUUAGGUGAGGGUAUGUUUGGGGGGGUGGAGAAUCAAGGGCCAGGGGAUGAUGUAUGGUUUACAGGAUCCAGAAAAAGAACACGAUAAAGCCCAGUGAAAGAUGUACUUAGGAUGAGUUAACUUCAAAGAAAGAGGAGAAAAAUGCCAAAAAAAGGGGACACUGACCCAGAAGAAGGUGGGGGCGACAAGAGGAAUGCAAAGAACAAGCAAAAUCCUCGAUAGAGUUAAUUAAUUUGAGUGGUUCUUGCUUUCUCUAUGACAUUUGAACAAUAUUCCGAAGUCAGUCUAGAAAGAAAUCCCCUGUGUCAGGCCACAAAAUAGAGCUUCCGGGGGUUUAUGCGUCUGCCAUUUCUCCACUUCCCAGACUGGAAAAACACAGUCAGAGAAGCACAGGCUGCUCUUCGGUUCAUCAGGCGUAAAAUGCCUGACAGCUCUCUCGGGAACUUCAUAUCAACCCUCAGAGCACCACAGCCUGUCAGGUAUUAUCACUCCUAGAUGGGUCAGCACUGUGGGUAUCUGGCCCCGUGCUGGUCCAUGGGGUACUUUGCCUCUAGACCAUACGAUGUCUUUCCCCAUCAUGUUGUGCCAAGAUUCCCAUGUUUUAACUUUGUGAUCUCAAAUCUUUCAUGAGAGGUUAUGUCUCCAUGCUGUGUCAGAAGAGAGAAAACCCUGUUAUCUGAAACUGUACACUGAAAAUAUUUAAAUGGUUGCCCAAAUCUAUCUUUGGCUACAGAAUAUUGUCUUGGGUGUGAAAUGGGAAUGAAGCUUUAUUACACAUAUAUUAUCUAACUACCACUGUGUUAAGCAUGUUCAUAUUUAGAGGGAAAGUACUAAGCACUACUCUUGUCCAACGCUAAUGAUGUACCUUUUUGACUCUAUUUUUAGUUCAAUGUUGGAUAUUUAU